ACAAUAGCAGUAUAUAACAUCACAAAGCAAA
This 31-nucleotide non-coding RNA is filed under the name Rattus norvegicus (Norway rat). The record is from RNAcentral. Lineage: Eukaryota; Metazoa; Chordata; Mammalia; Rodentia; Muridae.